ACCGCAUGAUUAGCGAUUAAUUAACGAUUACUUUCCUCGUGUACUUUACAUAACGGAAACACUGUCUGGAACACAAAUCUGUCAAAAUGCUAACAUCGGUUUACAUCGUAAAAUGCUAACAUCGGUUUAGUACAGUUUACAUCGUAAAAUCAAAAAAGACUGUAAUUUCUUUGCUAAAAUGAGGUUGGUACUUACUAUACUCAGCACUGCAGAGAUGGAAUAUUUAACUGCGGAUUAUUCAAUGGCCAUUUUUGGUUGUGUUUAUAAUAAGCAAACCUCAAGGAAAGCUUAGAAACUGAAAAGAUGGUUUUCUAUGCACAGUGUGAUGAAUUCUUAUAGUUGUGUAUUUAUUUUAUGUCUUAGCUGUGUAUUUCCUCUAUUCAGAGCGCGAUUUAUGUUUUAUUCUAUGUCUAUGUUAAGUUACAGAGCGUGAGUUAAUUGCUAUUACCGCAUUCCUUCGUUUACCGCAUUCCUUCGUUUUACAUUAUUGGCACAUUCCUGUAUUUUGCGUGCUGCUGUUGGUUGGUUAAUUGCGUGGGCGUGACGUUGCAUUUUAUAGCUUAAGAAUAAAAUGAGUUGCUUGUGGUUGAGUUCGUGAGCGGUCUUACUUUUGGGUCUAAAGAAGAAAACGCUACACUUCUUUCUGGCGUUCCUGGGUGGGCUCAACAUGGAAAAGAUGGAAGCAGAAUUCGCGAAGAAGUUUGGUGAACUUCAAGACCAUUUCGACGAACGUAUUACGAGAGUGUAUCGGAGUCUGACCGAUCGACUGGAUCAGUUACCAACGAACAGGAGCGAAAGGAGGACUAAAUCCGAGAACGUUGACGGUACAAAGGCAUUAUGGCAAACGCACACUGUGGCCAAUCAAGAAUGCACUCACUGUGCAUUGAUCUUCCACACCCUGAACAUGCAACCUGGGAAAAAAUAAGAAAUUUGAAUUGAAAUAUUUUUAACUUUUAUGUAAAAGGGAAGAGCAAAAUGUAUGUUAAAAACUAUUAAUUUAAACAAGUUAACUAAUAAGUUG
Ciona intestinalis (vase tunicate) is the source of this 1021-nucleotide non-coding RNA. NCBI's taxonomy places the organism in Eukaryota, Metazoa, Chordata, Ascidiacea, Phlebobranchia, Cionidae. The record is from RefSeq and is a predicted model, not a curated record.